Molecule: ribosomal RNA, 404 nt
Filed under: uncultured organism
Description: bacterial SSU rRNA
Rfam family: Bacterial small subunit ribosomal RNA
Source: RNAcentral
UGGAUUAGGCAUGCAAGUCGAACGGCUUUUCUAGCUUUUCCGGAAAAGCAGUGGCGAAAGGGUGAGGAGCACGUGGGUAAUCUGCCCUAGAGAUCGGGAUAACCUACCGAAAGGUGGGCUAAUACCGGAUACGUCAUCGUAACGCAAGUUGCGAUGGGAAAGAUGGGGACCUCGAAAGGGGCCUAUCACUCCUGGAUGAGCCCGCGUCCUAUCAGCUAGUUGGUGAGGUAAUGGCUCACCAAGGCUAAGACGGGUAGCUGGUCUGAGAGGAUGGUCAGCCACACUGGGACUGAGACACUGCCCAGACACCUACGGGUGGCUGCAGUCGAGAAUCUUUCGCAAUGGGGGCAACCCUGACGAAGCGACGCCGCGUGUAGGAUGAAGGCCUUCGGGUUGUAAACUAC